Molecule: transfer RNA, 68 nt
Filed under: Alcelaphus buselaphus (hartebeest)
Lineage: Eukaryota; Metazoa; Chordata; Mammalia; Artiodactyla; Bovidae
Description: tRNA-Tyr
Rfam family: tRNA
About the family: Transfer RNA (tRNA) molecules are approximately 80 nucleotides in length. Their secondary structure includes four short double-helical elements and three loops (D, anti-codon, and T loops).
Source: RNAcentral
GGUAAAAUGGCUGAGUGAAGCAUUAGACUGUAAAUCUAAAGACAGAGGUUUGACUCCUCUUUUUACCA